CGGUAAUAUGUAGGGCGCAAGCGUUGUCCGGAAUUAUUGGGCGUAAAGAGCUCUUAGGCGGCUUGUCAUGUUGGAUGUGAAAGCCCGGGGCUUCACCCCGGGUCUGCAUUGGAUACGGUCUAGUUAGAGUGUGGUAGGGGAGAUCGGAUUUCCUGGUGUAGCGGUGAAAUGCCCAGAUAUCAUGAGGAAGCUCCGGU
RNAcentral lists this ribosomal RNA (197 nucleotides) under Streptomyces sp. SCO23. Its description in RNAcentral is "partial 16S ribosomal RNA". It matches the Rfam family "Bacterial small subunit ribosomal RNA", at positions 518 to 713 of the family's 1533-position model. The record is from RNAcentral. Lineage: Bacteria; Bacillati; Actinomycetota; Actinomycetes; Kitasatosporales; Streptomycetaceae.